AUGUCAAUUCCAAGAAAAAAUAUCAUCACAUUGUUUCUAAACCAAUUUGAUCAAUCUAUACAUCUCAAUAAUCAAUAUGUAUUCAUCUUGCCAAAACGGCCAUUCAGUCCAAGAAAAUGCAACAUUUCAAUAAGCACCAUGAUAUUACACAUAAACAUAUCAAGCAGUUUACAAGCUACUUUGGUCCAAAUACUACGCUUCAUUAUAAACACAUUUUCUUCAAGCCUUUCUCCAUCAACCACAAACCUCAUGGUACCCCUUCACAAUCAUUUCCUCAAAUUAAUUUGGAAGAAAGCUUGUGUGACCAAGGAAGCUCCACAUAGGCAAAGAAUAGCAGAAGGUUCUUCAAAAAAUUAA
This is a non-coding RNA of Vicia faba (fava bean), 357 nucleotides long. The record is from the annotation of a GenBank genome assembly. NCBI's taxonomy places the organism in Eukaryota, Viridiplantae, Streptophyta, Magnoliopsida, Fabales, Fabaceae.